Molecule: ribosomal RNA, 324 nt
Filed under: Boophis quasiboehmei
Lineage: Eukaryota; Metazoa; Chordata; Amphibia; Anura; Mantellidae
Description: partial 16S ribosomal RNA
Rfam family: Bacterial large subunit ribosomal RNA
Source: RNAcentral
CACCCGCUCAUUCUAUACCCCAUUAUUUGCCCGACCUCUGUCUGCUCAGUUUUAGGUUGGGGUGACCACGGAGUAUAAAAUAACCUCCAUGAAGAAGGGGAUAUUUCCCUUAUUAGAGAACCACACUUCCAAGAACUAAUAAAUUAAUUUUCAAUGACCCGAUACCCGAUAAUCGAUCAACGAACCAAGUUACCCUGGGGAUAACAGCGCAAUCCACCCUGAAAGCCCUUAUUAACAGGUGGGUUUACGACCUCGAUGUUGGAUCAGGGUAUCCCAGUGGUGCAGCAGCUACUGAGGGUUCGUUUGUUCAACGAUUAAAACCCU